UAUGAAAAAUUAAUAAGUUCAUUAGUCUUUUGAUCAAUCUUCUAUUUGUAUUCGCCUUUGAUUUUGUCGAGAAUAUCUAUUUAUGACUUCAUCAAUGUCAAUGGAUAUUUCUUUAAGAAUAUUAAGUACUUCUAACCCAUUUAGCCUGUCUCCCGUCAUAAAAGAUUUCAUAUAAUUUGUAUUUGUCGUAGGGAAGAAAAUGAUCGUUCAGCUGUUGCUUAUGUUAUGGUGAUUGUUGCAAAAAUUUGUAGUAAAAUUUUAAUGUUUGGAUGAAAUACAUCACAAUGUACCCAGUGGCGUAACUAAAACUUCUAAUACCCGUUUCAAAACAUUGUAUAUUAACUAAAUUAUGGGCCAAGUGCAGGGCCGACGCUAUGUGGAGGAAUGUACGAACAUGUAUUAUCGGAAAUUAUACAAAAGUAAAAAAUAUGGUAUUACCAAAAUAUUUAUAGAUUCCGAUUCCUAUAAAGGCUUCGUGUAAAUGCUGAAAAACCAGAAAAAAAAACGCUCAAUCCCCAUCAAUAAUUGCUAGCCCUAUCUAUGUGCCAUUAUUUGAGUUGGGUCCCAAUUUACACAGUUUGGAGUCUGUUUUUAUACGUAUGUCCGUCCACGCAUGUUACUUGAUAAGCAAAACAAUGGUUAUCAUCGUCUAUUUUUUUUUUUUUGUUCGCCUGUCCAUUCACUGAAAAAUAAUGCCUUUGGGUCCCUAAAUGUCUUGGGGCCUAGGUUCAUUGCCCACUAUGCCACCUUCUCAGUACGCCAC
Non-coding RNA from Cinara cedri, 763 nucleotides. The record is from the annotation of a GenBank genome assembly. NCBI's taxonomy places the organism in Eukaryota, Metazoa, Arthropoda, Insecta, Hemiptera, Aphididae.